CAGCAGCCGCGGGAAUACGAAGGGGGCUAGCGUUGCUCGGAAUGACUGGGCGUAAAGGGCGCGUAGGCGGAUCACGCAGUCAGAUGUGAAAUUCCUGGGCUUAACCUGGGGGCUGCAUUUGAGACGUGUGGUCUAGAGUGUGAAAGAGGGUCGUGGAAUUCCCAGUGUAGAGGUGAAAUUCGUAGAUAUUGGGAAGAACACCGGUGGCGAAGGCGGCGACCUGGUUCAUGACUGACGCUGAGGCGCGAAAGCGUGGGGAGCAAACAGGAUUAGAUACCCCUGUAGUCCCUGUCUCUUAUAC
Molecule: ribosomal RNA, 301 nt
Filed under: uncultured bacterium
Lineage: Bacteria
Description: partial 16S ribosomal RNA
Rfam family: Bacterial small subunit ribosomal RNA
Source: RNAcentral